This 253-nucleotide ribosomal RNA is filed under the name uncultured bacterium. Its description in RNAcentral is "partial 16S ribosomal RNA". It matches the Rfam family "Bacterial small subunit ribosomal RNA", at positions 524 to 776 of the family's 1533-position model. The record is from RNAcentral.
UACGUAGGGGGCAAGCGUUGUCCGGAUUUACUGGGCGUAAAGGGCGUGUAGGCGGUUUUUUAAGUCAGGUGUGAAAGUUCGGGGCUUAACCCCGGAAUUGCAUUUGAAACUGGAGAACUUGAGUACUGGAGAGGUAAGUGGAAUUCCUAGUGUAGCGGUGAAAUGCGUAGAUAUUAGGAGGAACACCAGUGGCGAAGGCGACUUACUGGACAGAUACUGACGCUGAGGCGCGAAAGCGUGGGGAGCGAACAGG